AACGAACGCUGGCGGCAUGCCUAACACAUGCAAGUCGAACGAGACCUUCGGGUCUAGUGGCGCACGGGUGCGUAACGCGUGGGAACCUGCCCUUAGGUUCGGAAUAACUUCCCGAAAGGGAUGCUAAUACCGGAUAAUGUCUUCGGACCAAAGAUUUAUCGCCUUUGGAUGGGCCCGCGUAAGAUUAGGUAGUUGGUGGGGUAAUGGCCUACCAAGCCGACGAUCUUUAGCUGGUCUGAGAGGAUGAUCAGCCACACUGGGACUGAGACACGGCCCAGACUCCUACGGGAGGCAGCAGUGGGGAAUAUUGGACAAUGGGCGAAAGCCUGAUCCAGCAAUGCCGCGUGAGUGAUGAAGGCCUUAGGGUUGUAAAGCUCUUUUACCAGGGAUGAUAAUGACAGUACCUGGAGAAUAAGCUCCGGCUAACUCCGUGCCAGCCGCCGCAGUAA
RNAcentral lists this ribosomal RNA (449 nucleotides) under uncultured bacterium. Its description in RNAcentral is "partial 16S ribosomal RNA". It matches the Rfam family "Bacterial small subunit ribosomal RNA", at positions 29 to 523 of the family's 1533-position model. The record is from RNAcentral.